CGAAUGGGGCAACCCGGCCCAUUGGGUCAUUUCUUGUUGAAUAUAUAGGCAAGAAAAGCAAACCCGGCGAACUGAAACAUCUAAGUAGCCGGAGGAAAGGACAUCAACAGAGACUCCCCUAGUAGCGGCGAGCGAACGGGGACUAGGCCAGUGGCGCAUCAGUAAGAACUAGAACAGUCUGGAAAGUCUGACCAUAGUGGGUGAUAGUCCCGUAUAGGUAGAAAGCUGAUGUGUCCUUGAGUAAGGCGGU
This 250-nucleotide ribosomal RNA is filed under the name uncultured bacterium. Its description in RNAcentral is "partial 23S ribosomal RNA". It matches the Rfam family "Bacterial large subunit ribosomal RNA", at positions 115 to 421 of the family's 2925-position model. The record is from RNAcentral.